CAUCUUUCUCCAAGUUUGCCGGGUUCACGGGGGUCCGACUUGGUUGGACUGUGGUACCUAAGGAGCUGUUAUACUUGAACCGGUAUCCAGUAAUAAAGGAUUUCAAUAGGGUAGUGUGCACCUGCUUCAAUGGUGCUUCCAGUAUUGCCCAGGCUGGUGGCCUAGCUUGCCUUUCCCCGAGGGCUACCUGGUUAGGCUCUCUCUUUCUCUCUCUUUUCCACUUCUCUCUAAUAGCUUUAACUGUUGAUAAUGUAGGUCUUAACUGAUGUGAUGUCCAAAUACUUCUGAAUCUCCGAAACCUUGAUCACAUCAUGGGGAUUGCACCUAUGUGACAGACAUUUGAAAUAGAAAGCUGAUAGGUGGAGAAAAUGCUUGAUAUGCAUAUUGCAUCAAAAUCUCCCAAAGAAGAUAACACUUGGAUUUAGAAGUAUUCACUUGCCUAGAAGGAGUAUGCUUUUAUCAAAGAAAGAUACUAAAACCUAUCUUUAUCAAUCAAUCUGGCUCAUCUCAAAGAUGUGGUAUCACAUCCAAUUUGGGCUUUUAUACAUGCUGCCUUCAGCAAGAAUUCUAUGUCAUUUGAGCAUCUUUCUUGGAUAGAAUGGAUUGUAUGAUGGAAUAUAGAGAUGAAUGCUUGGACCAUUCAACUUUUGGAUAUUAUGGCAUGUAAUAUAUGAAGGUUGCUUCUUUCCUUUUUGAUAUCCUUGACAACACAUGUUUGUACUAUGAAAAAGAUUGAUAGUUGUGGGAAGAUUUGGAGCUUGAUGUGCGAACAUUUGUUUGGGAAAACAUUUUGUAAUAACUUUACUUUGAAGUUUUUUUUUUUUGUUUGGCAAUUAUUAUUUCAAAGUAUACAUUUUGAAUUUUAUUUGUAUUAGAACUUGAGGAUUCGUAUGAUAGCUAUAGUGGAGGGUUGAGAUAAUGCCUCUUACCUCAUUUGGUUGCUUCUGUUAAAGUCAAUAGGGGCCUUGAACUUUGCCCAAAUGAGUUCCAU
Molecule: non-coding RNA, 991 nt
Organism: Camellia sinensis
Lineage: Eukaryota; Viridiplantae; Streptophyta; Magnoliopsida; Ericales; Theaceae
Source: RefSeq, a predicted model, not a curated record